This 717-nucleotide long non-coding RNA is filed under the name Junco hyemalis (dark-eyed junco). Its description in RNAcentral is "lncRNA (ENSJHYG00000015918.1)". Lineage: Eukaryota; Metazoa; Chordata; Aves; Passeriformes; Passerellidae. The record is from RNAcentral.
AUGGUGCUCUCCCAGUGCUCCUCACCCUCACCAGUCCUUCACCAGUCCUCCCAGUGCCCCACACUGGAGAGUCCAGGUAUGAUCCCUGCCAAGCACAGGGCUCCAGUUUGCUUUCCACAUUCCCCCUGGAGCUUCACUGUCUCCUGCAGGCUGCUCAUCCUCCUGAGCCCCAUUCACCCUUCUGGGAAGGGACGAGGACCCCCAGCCCCUCCAGGUGCUGCACGGUGCUCCAGCUGUAACUGGGACAGACCCAGCUCCCAGAAAAGCACAGCCCUGCACCUUCCUCCUCCUCCCCAGGGCUCAUCCCCUCACCCACCACAGCUCUGCCCUGGUUCCUCCCAGCUGCUCCUCCUGGCCUGGCACCCCCAGGUGCUGCCCCAGCCUGGUGUGGGGCAGCUGCAGCACUGUGUCCCCUGCCCCAUCACUCCUCCCUGCACAAGGAGCACAACAGCAGAUGCCUUUUCACACUUUGGGGGCUUUUCCCAGAGGCCAGCUGCCCUGGAGGCUGGUGGUGUCUCUGUGGGGGCUGUGCAGCCCGGCCCUGGCUGGGUUUGGCAGAGCAUGAGGGGGGUGUGUGUGUGUGUGUGUGUGUUUUCUACCUUGGUGUGUUCCUGUAAAUAGUGUAAGUUAUUGUGCUCUCCUGCUGUACGUUUUUCAAUGGCUGUUUGUUUCUUGCCUUUUUGUCUUUGCAAAUAAAAUGUUCUUGACAUGAAGGCA